This is a long non-coding RNA of Canis lupus familiaris (dog), 970 nucleotides long. RefSeq lists it as uncharacterized. The transcript is spliced from 3 exons. NCBI's taxonomy places the organism in Eukaryota, Metazoa, Chordata, Mammalia, Carnivora, Canidae. The record is from RefSeq and is a predicted model, not a curated record.
CCAUUGACAGGAUUUUCUGGCAGAAACCAUCAUGGGUAUUAAAAGUCAGUGGGUUGGGAGCAAGAGUCACCAGAAACCAUCACAUUCGACUGUGUGAAGCUCCUGAUUUACAAUUUUGUCUCACUUCCUUGGGUUGUCUCCCAUGAGCAGAAGUAACUCAGGAGGCUGAGGAAAACAGCAGAUUGUGGCUGGGCCGACCUUCUAGAAAGGUCCACACAGUGGUCCCUGGACCCUAGGAGUUCUCCACUCCCCCAACACUGUUUAUAUUAGCUAUCAUGCACGGAACAGUCAUGUGGUACACUUUGCAGUCAGCAAGUUUAUCUUCUGUUAAAGUUUUACCAGUAGAAAUCAAGUAGUAUUUACCCCUGUUCUGCGGCAAGUCAUGUGCAAACAGCACCUGUGAACAUUUUCAGCACACAUGCUGGACUUUCUCCUUCGUGUUUCUCAUCACAACAAAUGUUGGGGGGAAAGCCAACAAUUGUCGAGACUCUGGCAAAUGUGGAACUCCUCACCAGAAAUGACUCACAAUCACUGCUGUCAAGGUGCAUGGGACUUUGCUUUUGCCGUCGUCAGAGCACCUUCGUUGGUUACAGACAUUCGUCCUUACAUAAGGCCAAACUCAGCACACCCAUAAGAACUCUGAAUGCUGCUAACAGGGUGAUUAUGAAAGGCUCAUGAAGUCAGGAGCUGGGGCAGCCAUCUUGCAAUCUCUGAAGAGCUGCCCUGUAGGGAGGCCUAUGUGGCCAAGAACUAAGGGAGAUCUCCAGCCAAUGGCCAGUGAGGAGCUUCCACACACUGACAUGGAAGAGGGGCUUCCCCCAGUCAAACCUUCAGAUGGGACUGCAGCCCUGGAUGACAGAUUGACUGCAAUCUCAUGAGAUACCUGGAGCCAGAAGCUCCCAGCUCAGCCAUGCCUGGAUUUAUAACCCACAGGAAUUGCAAGAUAAUAAAGGAUGAUUGUAAGCUGCUA